GACGAACGCUGGCGGCGUGCUUAACACAUGCAAGUCGAACGGAAAGGCCCUGCUUUUGUGGGGUGCUCGAGUGGCGAACGGGUGAGUAACACGUGAGUAACCUGCCCUUGACUUUGGGAUAACUUCAGGAAACUGGGGCUAAUACCGGAUAGGAGCUCCUGCUGCAUGGUGGGGGUUGGAAAGUUUCGGCGGUUGGGGAUGGACUCGCGGCUUAUCAGCUGGUUGGUGGGGUAGGGGCUUACCAAGGCUUUGACGGGUAGCCGGCCUGAGAGGGUGACCGGCCACAUUGGGACUGCGAUACGGCCCAGACUCCUACGGGAGGCAGCAGUGGGGAAUAUUGCACAGUGGCGGGAAGCCUGAUGCAGCAACGCCGCGUGCGGGAUGACGGCCUUCGGGUUGUAAACCGCUUUCGCCUGUGACGAAGCGUGAGUGACGGUAAUGGGUAAAGAAGCACCGGCUAACUACGUG
Molecule: ribosomal RNA, 468 nt
Filed under: uncultured bacterium
Lineage: Bacteria
Description: partial 16S ribosomal RNA
Rfam family: Bacterial small subunit ribosomal RNA
Source: RNAcentral